Molecule: small nuclear RNA, 100 nt
Filed under: Jaculus jaculus (lesser Egyptian jerboa)
Lineage: Eukaryota; Metazoa; Chordata; Mammalia; Rodentia; Dipodidae
Source: RNAcentral
GUGCUUGCUUCAGCAACACAUAUACUAAAAUUAGAAAAAUGCAGAGAAGAUUAGCAUGAGCAAGGAUGACACGGAAGUUCGUGAAACGUUCCAUUAAAAA